This 398-nucleotide ribosomal RNA is filed under the name uncultured bacterium. Its description in RNAcentral is "bacterial SSU rRNA". It matches the Rfam family "Bacterial small subunit ribosomal RNA", at positions 356 to 771 of the family's 1533-position model. The record is from RNAcentral.
GGGGAAUAUUGCACAAUGGGCGAAAGCCUGAUGCAGCACCGCCGCGUGAGUGAUGAAGGCCUUCGGGUUGUACAGCUCUGUCUUCUGGGACGAUAAUGACGGUACCAGAGGAGGAAGCCACGGCUAACUACGUGCCAGCAGACGCGGUAAUACGUAGGUGGCAAGCGUUGUCCGGAUUUACUGGGCGUAAAGGAUGCGUAGGAGGAUACUUAAGUCAGAUGUGAAAAUCCCGGGCUUAACUUGGGAACUGCAUUUGAAACUGGGUAUCUAGAGUGCGGGAGAGGAUAGUGAAAUUCCUAGUGUAUCGGUGAAAUGCGUAGAGAUUAGGAAGUACACCAGUGGCGAAGGCGACUUUCUGGACCGUAACUGACGCUGAGGCAUGAAAGCGUGGGUAGCAA